GACGAACGCUGGCGGCGUGCAUAAUACAUGCAAGUCGAGCGAGCGGAACCAACAGAUUUACUUCGGUAAUGACGUUGGGAAAGCGAGCGGCGGAUGGGUGAGUAACACGUGGGGAACCUGCCCCUAAGUCUGGGAUACCAUUUGGAAACAGGUGCUAAUACCGGAUAAGAAAGCAGAUCGCAUGAUCAGCUUUUAAAAGGCGGCGUAAGCUGUCGCUAAGGGAUGGCCCCGCGGUGCAUUAGCUAGUUGGUAAGGUAACGGCUUACCAAGGCAACGAUGCAUAGCCGAGUUGAGAGACUGAUCGGCCACAUUGGGACUGAGACACGGCCCAAACUCCUACGGGAGGCAGCAGUAGGGAAUCUUCCACAAUGGACGCAAGUCUGAUGGAGCAACGCCGCGUGAGUGAAGAAGGUUUUCGGAUCGUAAAGCUCUGUUGUUGGUGAAGAAGGAUAGAGGUAGUAACUGGCCUUUAUUUGACGGUAAUCAACCAGAAAGUCACGGCUAACUACGUG
This 512-nucleotide ribosomal RNA is filed under the name uncultured bacterium. Its description in RNAcentral is "partial 16S ribosomal RNA". It matches the Rfam family "Bacterial small subunit ribosomal RNA", at positions 28 to 507 of the family's 1533-position model. The record is from RNAcentral.